UACGUAGGGUCCGAGCGUUGUCCGGAAUUAUUGGGCGUAAAGAGCUCGUAGGCGGUUUGUCGCGUCUGCUGUGAAAUCCCGAGGCUCAACCUCGGGCCUGCAGUGGGUACGGGCAGACUGGAGUGCGGUAGGGGAGAAUGGAAUUCCUGGUGUAGCAGUGAAAUGCGUAGAUAUCAGGAGGAAUACCGAUGGCGAAGGCAGGUCUCUGGGCUGACACUGACGCUCAUGCACGAAAGCGUGGGGAGCAAACAGG
This 253-nucleotide ribosomal RNA is filed under the name uncultured bacterium. RNAcentral describes it as "partial 16S ribosomal RNA". It matches the Rfam family "Bacterial small subunit ribosomal RNA", at positions 524 to 776 of the family's 1533-position model. The record is from RNAcentral.